This 253-nucleotide ribosomal RNA is filed under the name uncultured bacterium. RNAcentral describes it as "partial 16S ribosomal RNA". It matches the Rfam family "Bacterial small subunit ribosomal RNA", at positions 524 to 776 of the family's 1533-position model. The record is from RNAcentral.
GACAGAGGGUGCAAACGUUGUUCGGAAUUACUGGGCGUAAAGCGAGUGUAGGCGGUCUUGUAAGUCGGAUGUGAAAGCCCUGGGCUCAACCCAGGAAGUGCACUCGAUACUGCGAGGCUAGAGUACUGGAGAGGUGGGUGGAAUUCUCGGUGUAGAGGUGAAAUUCGUAGAUAUCAAGAGGAACACCUGAGGUGAAGACGGGUUGCUGGGCCAACACUGACGCUGAGGCGCGAAAGCCAGGGGAGCAAACGGG